UACGGAGGGUGCAAGCGUUAUCCGGAUUUACUGGGCUUAAAGGGUGCGUAGGUGGUUAAUUAAGUCAGUGGUGAAAUCUUCAGGCUUAACCUGGAAACUGCCAUUGAUACUAUUUAUCUUGAAUACUUUGGAGGUAAGCGGAAUAUGUCAUGUAGCGGUGAAAUGCUUAGAUAUGACAUAGAACACCAAUUGCGAAGGCAGCUUACUACACAGUAAUUGACACUGAGGCACGAAAGCGUGGGGAUCAAACAGG
This 253-nucleotide ribosomal RNA is filed under the name uncultured bacterium. RNAcentral describes it as "partial 16S ribosomal RNA". It matches the Rfam family "Bacterial small subunit ribosomal RNA", at positions 524 to 776 of the family's 1533-position model. The record is from RNAcentral.